CAAACCGGCAGCCGAUUUUCGUGAAACACCAGCAAACAACUACGCCGCGUUACAACAGGAAGCAAGUGGCGGUAGCCCCAAGUCGGCAGUGUCCCACUGGACACUUGCUGGACAAGAACAACGUCUGCAGAAUGAUAUGGCUUGGGUGAACAAUAGUCUCCCCAUCAAUCAGCAGUCUGCAAGUUAAGUUUGACUCUUGAAAAGCACGUCCUCAUGCAUAUUUAAUGAACGAGAUACGUACCGUCGCGGCCUGGUGAAUUCGCGGAUCAUGUAAAAAUACGGAAGAAGGGAAAUUUAUGCGGAAAACAUACGUUGUAAUACGAAAAAAUGUCGAUCCUAGUCGGUUCUAUUUUUUGCUUCCCUUUUCAAGAGUUGAAAAUACACGGUAAUACUAAUAAUACA
Long non-coding RNA from Daphnia pulicaria, 402 nucleotides. RefSeq lists it as uncharacterized. The record is from RefSeq and is a predicted model, not a curated record. The transcript is spliced from 2 exons. Lineage: Eukaryota; Metazoa; Arthropoda; Branchiopoda; Diplostraca; Daphniidae.